AGCGAACGCUGGCGGCAGGCCUAACACAUGCAAGUCGAACGAACUCUUCGGAGUUAGUGGCGGACGUGUGAGUAACACGUGGUAACGUGCCUUUUGGUUCGGCAUAACUCAGGGAAACUUGUGCUAAUACCGAAUGUGCCCUUCGGGGGAAAGAUUUAUCGCCAUUAGAGCGGCCCGCGUCUGAUUAGCUAGUUGGUGAGGUAACGGCUCACCAAGGCGACGAUCAGUAGCUGGUCUGAGAGGAUGACCAGCCACACUGGGAAUGAGACACGGUCCAGACUCCUACGGGAGGGAGGAGUGGGGAAUCUUGCGCAAUGGGGGAAAGGCUGAAGCAGGCAUGGCGGGUGAAUGAUGAAGGGCUUAGGAUUGUAAAAUUCUUUCACCGGGGACGAUAAUGACGGUACCCGGAGAAGAAGCCCCGGCUAACUUCGUG
This 433-nucleotide ribosomal RNA is filed under the name uncultured bacterium. RNAcentral's name for it is "partial 16S ribosomal RNA". It matches the Rfam family "Bacterial small subunit ribosomal RNA", at positions 29 to 507 of the family's 1533-position model. The record is from RNAcentral.